GACAGAGGAGGCGAGCGUUAUCCGGAGUUAUUGGGCGUAAAGGGUACGUAGGCGGCUGGUCAAGUAUGGGGUUAAAGACCACAGCUUAACUGUGGGGGGGCCUUGGAAACUGACCGGCUGGAGUGGGGCAGGGGUUGCGGGAAUUCCCGGCGUAGCGGUGAAAUGCGUAGAUAUCGGGAAGAACACCUGAGGCGAAAGCGCGCAACUGGGCCCUAACUGACGCUGAGGUACGAAAGCUAGGGGAGCGAAUUGG
Molecule: ribosomal RNA, 253 nt
Filed under: uncultured bacterium
Lineage: Bacteria
Description: partial 16S ribosomal RNA
Rfam family: Bacterial small subunit ribosomal RNA
Source: RNAcentral